AUACGAAGGGGGCUAGCGUUGUUCGGAAUUACUGGGCGUAAAGCGCAUGUAGGCGGACAUUUAAGUCAGGGGUGAAAUCCCGGGGCUCAACCUCGGAACUGCCUUUGAUACUGGGUGUCUAGAGUGUGGAAGAGGUAAGUGGAAAAAUUCCGAGUGUAGAGGUGAAAUUCGUAGAUAUUCGGAGGAACACCAGUGGCGAAGGCGGCUUACUGGUCCAUUACUGACGCUGAGGUGCGAAAGCGUGGGGAGC
RNAcentral lists this ribosomal RNA (250 nucleotides) under uncultured bacterium. Its description in RNAcentral is "partial 16S ribosomal RNA". It matches the Rfam family "Bacterial small subunit ribosomal RNA", at positions 523 to 769 of the family's 1533-position model. The record is from RNAcentral.